CCCAUCUGGCAUCACUGAUGCAUCCUUUUUUAUAAAGGAUUGGGAUCCCCUUUGGUAGAAUUUCUCGUGUUCAUUGUUUGAUUUUUUAUCAUCAACACCCGUUACAUUCUAUUUUAAGAUUUAAAUUCACGUUGAGUCUCUAAUCAUUUUACGUUUUUUCAUAUAAAAUUGAGAUAAUAUUUGUAUAUCAUUCCGAGGAAAUUGUACGUGCAUAUUUGGCUGAGAAGAUUUUUGUCUCCUAACUUUGCCUUCUAUUUGCAUUGAAAGAGAAAAAGAGACACUCCACUAAAAACCGCAGAUUUUUGUGGUUAUGUGUUUGCGAAUGCGCCACCGAGAUCAACCGAGAUUGUGAACAUUGGAAGAACACACACUGCUCUUCAUGAUAUGGAGGGCCAUUCUGUUACUUUGAAGAUUCCGGAGCCAAUCGGCAAAAGCUUGCCUCGCGCUGUUAGCUUUUCCGAGUUGCCCAUGAGGCGUAGCAUCGUUAUUCAACACGCAAAGAUAUCUGGGGAGCUUAUGAGACAAUACAGUUGUGAACAGAUUUACGAUAAAGUCUCUAAUACUAGAAAAACAUCACGUGUGUAAAACCCGCAGGUCGUAUCUACCAGCAUAUACGGCCUUUUGCUUUUAGGAAAUCCACCACAGCGACCCCGAAAAUAGUAAAACAUCUUGAGUUGGGGCAUCAAUGGAGAAACGACCUGGUUUUUAUGAAAUUAUAAAAAUGACUUAAAGCGAAAAACUCGUACAUACAAUUUUAUAUUUUCCUUCAUCUUGAGAUAUUGUAUAUUUUUUUUAUUCGAGCCUAUAUGACUGUUAGUCUUUAGGAAACCCACCAAAUAAAUCCCAA
Diachasma alloeum is the source of this 847-nucleotide long non-coding RNA. RefSeq lists it as uncharacterized. The transcript has 3 exons. Lineage: Eukaryota; Metazoa; Arthropoda; Insecta; Hymenoptera; Braconidae. The record is from RefSeq and is a predicted model, not a curated record.